GACGAACGCUGGCGGCGUGCCUAAUACAUGCAAGUAGAACGCUGAAGAGAGGAGCUUGCUCUUCUUGGAUGAGUUGCGAACGGGUGAGUAACGCGUAGGUAACCUGCCUUGUAGCGGGGGAUAACUAUUGGAAGCGAUAGCUAAUACCGCAUAACAAUGGAUGACACAUGUCAUUUAUUUGAAAGGGGCAAUUGCUCCACUACAAGAUGGACCUGCGUUGUAUUAGCUAGUAGGUGAGGUAAUGGCUCACCUAGGCGACGAUACAUAGCCGACCUGAGAGGGUGAUCGGCCACACUGGGACUGAGACACGGCCCAGACUCCUACGGGAGGCAGCAGUAGGGAAUCUUCGGCAAUGGGGGCAACCCUGACCGAGCAACGCCGCGUGAGUGAAGAAGGUUUUCGGAUCGUAAAGCUCUGUUGUAAGUCAAGAACGGGUGUGAGAGUGGAAAGUUCACACUGUGACGGUAGCUUACCAGAAAGGGACGGCUAACUACGUG
This 497-nucleotide ribosomal RNA is filed under the name uncultured bacterium. RNAcentral's name for it is "partial 16S ribosomal RNA". It matches the Rfam family "Bacterial small subunit ribosomal RNA", at positions 28 to 507 of the family's 1533-position model. The record is from RNAcentral.